GGGGCUGUAGCUCAGGGGUAGAGCAUCUGCCUUUUAAGCAGAGGGUCGCUGGUUCGAGCCCAGCCAGCCUCA
Molecule: transfer RNA, 72 nt
Filed under: Ignavibacteriales bacterium CG07_land_8_20_14_0_80_59_12
Lineage: Bacteria; Pseudomonadati; Ignavibacteriota; Ignavibacteria; Ignavibacteriales
Description: tRNA-Lys
Rfam family: tRNA
About the family: Transfer RNA (tRNA) molecules are approximately 80 nucleotides in length. Their secondary structure includes four short double-helical elements and three loops (D, anti-codon, and T loops).
Source: RNAcentral